Molecule: small nucleolar RNA, 191 nt
Filed under: Penaeus vannamei (Pacific white shrimp)
Lineage: Eukaryota; Metazoa; Arthropoda; Malacostraca; Decapoda; Penaeidae
Description: Litopenaeus vannamei (Pacific white shrimp) Small nucleolar RNA U3
Rfam family: Small nucleolar RNA U3
About the family: Small nucleolar RNAs (snoRNAs) are involved in the processing and modification of rRNA in the nucleolus. There are two main classes of snoRNAs: the box C/D class, and the box H/ACA class.
Source: Rfam by way of RNAcentral
AUGAUCAUACUUUAUAGGAUCACUUCUAUAGUGCGAUUGCCGGGUUUCUCGCCAAGAUUCUCGGAAUAUGUUCAACCACGAUGAGGACUGUUAGUGUAAUCCUCUGAGCGGGAAGCGGCUCUCAAGUUGUGCUUGAGAGUUUUUGAUGACCGUUCUCGAUGUUAAGAGGAGGAUUGCACAGGCUGAGUGGU